GUGCACCAGGCGAGAAAACUUCACAAUGUGCGAAAGCACGAUGAGGGAAUCCCAAGUGCUUGCACGUAAGUGUAAGCUGUUUCUCUGUCUAAAACGCAGAGAGAGUAAGGGCUGGGUAAGACGGGUGCCAGCCGCCGCGGUAAUACCUGCAGCUCGAGUGGUGACCGUUAUUAUUGGGCCUAAAACGUCCGUAGCCGGUUUAAUAAAUGCCUGGGUAAAUCGGACCGCUUAACGGUUCGAAUUCCGGGUAGACUGUUAAACUUGAGACCGGGAGAAGUUAGAGGUACUCCUGGGGUAGAGGUGGAAUUCUGUAAUCCUAGGGGGACCACCAGUGGCGAAGGCGUCUAACUAGAACGGGUCUGACGGUGAGGGGACGAAGCCCUGGGGGCGCAAACGGGGAUUAGAUACCCGUGUAGU
Molecule: ribosomal RNA, 417 nt
Filed under: uncultured microorganism
Description: bacterial SSU rRNA
Rfam family: Archaeal small subunit ribosomal RNA
Source: RNAcentral